CCCUCCCUCCGUUCGGUUCUCCGCGCAGCCGUGGGAUCUCGAGGAGGGCGUCCAUUAGGCCGCGUGUGACCAUGUAAGGUUCCUGGUGCUGGUUCCAGCAGAAUAGACACAGAGAUGCAUGGCCUAACUCCCACUCCCUCUUCAGGACUGAGCCACGCAGCCCCCCAUCUGCCAGAAGUGUUAGCUGUUGACGGCUCACAGCUGAGUCCCUCUCCAGGCAUUGCUGAAAAGAGCCACCUUGCUCUAGGAUGUGCCCCCACCCUGGGGGCAGCAUACAUUCCAAGUGAUUAGUCCAUAGUGUGGUACAAAGGUUGUACCCAUCUUGCCUGAAUUCAGGAUCUCUUGGAAAACCACCCCAGCUCUGCAGCUCCUGGUGGGGUGCUGAGGCCUCUGCUGCAGCUGCAUCGCAGUUUACUUUCCCCUCUGCCUAGUCCUGCUGCCUUCACUCCCCAACAGAUCACCCGCUCUGAACAUGCCAUCUACUGUGGAAAUCUUCAAUCUUUAAUUAAUUUUUCCUGUUACAGGAAGAUUAAGUCUAAAAGGGUAUCUCCCCUAGUUGAUCCAGAACUAAAUAACAUUGUUUUCAGUACUUCCAGUAACUUGCUUACACUCUUACUUCUAAAGCAUUGAAUGUAUCAUCUUAUGUGCUUGUCACCCCCAGCUUGUGUCAUAGGAGAAAGUAUACGGAGAUCAGGUACAACUUCAGUUCAACAGCUUAUGAGCUAUUGGAUCAGUCUCCUUAUUAAUCUCUCAGAGCCUCAAUUUCCUUGUUUAAAAUGGGGGCAAUACCUACCUUAAGGAAUUUCUUGAGGAUCAAAAGAAACCCUAGUAACAAAGCCUUGAACCAUGUCUGACUUAUAGUAUAUAUUCUAACUGCAAGUUCUUUUCAUGUCUUGUCCAUGAAUUCUUCAUUCAUUCAUUCAUUCAUUCAUCCAACAACCAAGCAUUCACUGAUGCUCCAAUUGUGCAAGACACUGUUUUAGGCCUUGAGAAUACAAACUGCACAAGCAGGACAAUGUAACCAGUGUUAUGCAGGGUCUGGUCUAGUGGGAGGAGAAGACAGUGACCAUGGCCCAUGAUGAGUGACAGAAUGAAAAGUAAUCAGGAAGAUAUGAUAGGAAAUACAGGGAGAAUGGGAGAGUCUGCUUUAUGUUGCAUAAUCAGAGGGCAGCUCUGGACAGGCAAAAUUUGAGCUGAGACCUAAAUGACAAGGAGUGAAGCCAAUGGAACAUCUGAAAGAAUAGUUUUCUAGAAAGAGAGCCCAGCUAGUGUGAGCCCUAAAGUAGGUAGAAAAUGGGCUUGGAGGGUUUUAUAUGAGGAGCAGCGGGAAGUAGGCAGAGGCCUGGUCAUUGUAGGUCAUGUUGGCUAGAGUAAAGAGCUUGUGUUUGAUUCUCAGGGCAAUGAAGAGCCUUUGGAGAAUUUAAAGCAAAGUGGGGAGGGGGAACAAGAGCUGAUUUACAUUAUUCUGAACAGCACCAGGAGGGAUAGUACUGGAUAAUAAGAGUGGUAAAAGGAGACCAUUUAGGAGGUUAUAGCAAUUGUCCAGGGUGGCCUGGCCUGCCACGGUAGCCACAGAGACGGUGAGAGGUGAGGAGGUGCCAGGUACCGUCAUGGGAGACAUAAUGACAUUCGAUCAAUGCUGAACUACAUAUAUGACGGUGGUACCAUGAGAUUAUAAUGGAGCUGAAAAAUUCCCAUCACCUAGUGACCUCGUAGCUGCUGGAACAUUGCAGGGCAAUGCAUACACACAUGUAUGUGGUGAUAGUGGUGCACACAAACCUACUAUGCUGCCAGUCCUAUAAAAGUGUAGCACACAGGAUUAUGUACAGUACAUAACACUUGAUAAUGAUAACAAAUGACUAGGUUACUGGUUUAUGCAUUUACCAUACUAUACUUUUAUCGUUAUUUUAGAGAGUACUCCCUCUACUUAUUUAAUAAAUAUAGUUAACUGUAAAACAGCCUCAGGCAGGUCGUUCAGGAGGUAUUCUAAAGAAGGCA
This 1998-nucleotide long non-coding RNA is filed under the name Homo sapiens (human). Its description in RNAcentral is "myocardin-induced smooth muscle lncRNA, inducer of differentiation". The record is from RNAcentral. Lineage: Eukaryota; Metazoa; Chordata; Mammalia; Primates; Hominidae.